Molecule: ribosomal RNA, 700 nt
Filed under: uncultured bacterium
Lineage: Bacteria
Description: bacterial SSU rRNA
Rfam family: Bacterial small subunit ribosomal RNA
Source: RNAcentral
UGCAGUCGAACGAUGAAGGGAAGCUUGCUUUCUGGAUUAGUGGCGAACGGGUGAGUAACACGUGAGUAACCUGCCCUUGACUCUGGGAUAAGCACUGGAAACGGUGUCUAAUACCGGAUACGAACUUCCACCGCAUGGUGAGGGGUUGGAAAGAAUUUUGGUCAAGGAUGGACUCGCGGCCUAUCAGCUAGUUGGUGAGGUAAUGGCUCACCAAGGCGACGACGGGUAGCCGGCCUGAGAGGGUGACCGGCCACACUGGGACUGAGACACGGCCCAGACUCCUACGGGAGGCAGCAGUGGGGAAUAUUGCACAAUGGGCGCAAGCCUGAUGCAGCAACGCCGCGUGAGGGACGAAGGCCUUCGGGUUGUAAACCUCUUUUAGUAGGGAAGAAGCGUAAAAGUGACGGUACCUGCAGAAAAAGCACCGGCUAACUACGUGCCAGCAGCCGCGGUAAUACGUAGGGUGCAAGCGUUAUCCGGAAUUAUUGGGCGUAAAGAGCUCGUAGGCGGUUUGUCGCGUCUGCUGUGAAAUCUGGGGGCUCAACCCCCAGCCUGCAGUGGGUACGGGCAGACUAGAGUGCGGUAGGGGAGAUUGGAAUUCCUGGUGUAGCGGUGGAAUGCGCAGAUAUCAGGAGGAACACCAAUGGCGAAGGCAGAUCUCUGGGCCGUAACUGACGCUGAGGAGCGAAAGCAUGGGGAG